GAUGAAGAACGUAGCGAAAUGCGAUAAGUAGUGUGAAUUGCAGAAUUCAGUGAAUCAUCGAAUCUUUGAACGCACAUUGCGCCCCUUGGUAUUCCAUGGGGCAUGCCUGUUCGAGCGUCAUUUGUACCUUCAAGCUCUGCUUGGUGUUGGGUGUUUGUCCCGCCUUUGUGCGCGGACUCGCCUUAAAGCAAUUGGCAGCCGGCGUAUAGAUUUCGGAGCGCAGCACAAUCCGCGCUUUGUACUCAUUACGACGACAUCCAUCAAGACAUUUUUUAACUCUUGACCUCGGAUCAGGUAGGGAUACCCGCUGAACUUAAGCAUAUCAAUAAGCGGAGGA
Molecule: unclassified non-coding RNA, 337 nt
Filed under: soil metagenome
Description: partial contains 5.8S ribosomal RNA, internal transcribed spacer 2, and large subunit ribosomal RNA
Rfam family: 5.8S ribosomal RNA (bases 1-120)
Source: RNAcentral